AAAGUCGUAACAAGGUCUCCGUUGGUGAACCAGCGGAGGGAUCAUUACAGAGUUAUCCAACUCCCAAACCCAUGUGAACUUAUCUCUUUGUUGCCUCGGCGCAAGCUACCCGGGACCUCGCGCCCCGGGCGGCCCGCCGGCGGACAAACCAAAACUCUUGUUAUCUUAGUUGAUUAUCUGAGUGUCUUAUUUAAUAAGCCAAAACUUUCAACAACGGAUCUCUUGGUUCUG
Molecule: unclassified non-coding RNA, 231 nt
Filed under: Nigrospora oryzae
Lineage: Eukaryota; Fungi; Ascomycota; Sordariomycetes; Amphisphaeriales; Apiosporaceae
Description: partial internal transcribed spacer region
Rfam family: Eukaryotic small subunit ribosomal RNA (bases 1-47)
Source: RNAcentral